AAGGCAUGAUGAUGUCACUUUCUAAGCAUCUCCUUGAAUCUCUCCUAACUCUCAUAAAUAGAUUCUCCUUCUAACUGAGUAAAAGAAGUUAUGUCAUUUCUAAGCUU
Molecule: small nucleolar RNA, 107 nt
Organism: Dendrobium catenatum
Lineage: Eukaryota; Viridiplantae; Streptophyta; Magnoliopsida; Asparagales; Orchidaceae
Source: RefSeq, a predicted model, not a curated record